Mytilus californianus (California mussel) is the source of this 155-nucleotide long non-coding RNA. RefSeq lists it as uncharacterized. The transcript is spliced from 3 exons. Lineage: Eukaryota; Metazoa; Mollusca; Bivalvia; Mytilida; Mytilidae. The record is from RefSeq and is a predicted model, not a curated record.
CUUUCUGAGACAUGUUUUCAUGGUGUGGGAAUAAGACUUGGUGGUCUUAUACAGCUAAUACAAAGAUUAGCAUCACAGCUUGUCUGUAAGGAUUGAAGCUGGGAGUGGGCAUUGGAGCUGACUUUUAUGAUAACUGUGGCUGCAUAAAAUGGUUG